CACGCCUAGCUAAUCUUGCAUUUUCAGUGGAGACAGGGUUUCAACAUGUUGGUCAGGCUGGUCUCAAACUCCUGACCUCAAGUGAUUCAGCCGCCUCGCCUCCCAAAGUGCUGGGAUUACAGGUGUGAGGCACCACAUCCGACCUCUGCUCUUCCUCAAAGGCCACCAAAUCAUGCCAGCUAACUGUGCAAAGAUGUUAGCCUGAUAGUCAAAGCUCUUCCCAGACUCUUAUAAACAUAGAAGAACAUAGCGGUUAAGAACAUGAGCUCUGCAGCAGGAUUACACGGAUUCCAAUCUCAGCUCAGCCACAUACUAGCUGUGUGAUGUUGGAUGAGAACAUUGAGGCCUAGGGCAUUUCAAUAGCUUGCCAAAGGGCUCAUCAUUCUCGGGUAACAGGAUGAGGCCAGACACCAAGGAUCCCUGGAUCCAUGCCCUACUCUCCACACUUGUCUUGGGUCUAUGAAGCCCCCAGUCCCAAGGUAAGUCAUGUCAUUGUGGAAAUUAAUUGCAACCUUUCAUGAUUGUCCGAUCCCAUCUAUGGGUUUCAAGGAAGAUUAUGAAGUCCUUAGAACCACAAUGUGUCUAAUUUUUAUUCUGUAUUUUAUUUAUUUUUAAAUGUCUGAGAUGCUGAGAACCUGAGAUAUCACUCAUCUCAUCUUCCUGAAUUUUAUGAACUAAGAAGCGAAAGCUCACCCAAAGCCAUUUAUAGAGUCUAUGGAAAAAGAAGGACUAGACCCUGGAUUCCGUGAUUUACAGAGAUAUAAAGGGUGGCUGGUGCCAUUCUUCCAAAAGGAAAGCUGUCAUCUUUACUCACUCAGUCCUCAGCAAACUAUCUGAGCACUAUUUUUGUGCCUCAUCUGGGAGCUGGGGAGUCAGUGAUGGGCAAGAUAUGGUCUUUACUUGCAAAAUUCCCAUAGCACAUUGGAGAAGAAAAAACAGCAAUCAGGUAUGUGCGCUACAGGGGGGUGCAUGCUGCAACCACCAGCAUCAACAACAACAUGCAUUGAAUGCUUCAUGUAUAUCAAGUGCUCUCUCUCCUAAGAGAUAUGAAUGCAUUAACCCCAUUUACUCCUCAAGACUAGAAACAAACACUUUAUAAUUUGCUACGGACUGAAAAUUUGUGUCCCCCUAAAAUGUAUAUGUGGAAGUCUUAAUCCCCAAUGUGAUGAUAUUUGGAGGCGGGGCCUUGGGACAUAAUUGGGGUAGGGUGAGGUCAUGAGGGUGAAAACCCCAUACUGGGAUUGGUGCCCUUAGAAAGGUAUAAAGGGACUGGAGCAUGCAGUUUCUCUCUCUCUCUCUCUCUGUUUCUCUCUCUCUCUCUCUCCCUCCGCCGUAUGAGCACGCAGCAAGAAAGCGGCUGUGUGGCAACCAGGAAGACAGCCUUUAUCAGAAUCCAGCCAUAUUGGUGCCCUGAUCUCAGACUUUCCAGCCUCCAGAACUAUUUUAUUCCAGUAUCAGCCAACAACGUGAUCUGACAGGACAGUCCCAGCCCUAGGAAAUGAACUAUGAUUCGUGCAGACCGAUCGAAGUCAUACCAUACAGCGAUGGAUUUGGGCAUGUGGGCCAGUUGGGAUCAAGGGAAAGGAAGCAUUUCCAUUUUGAUCAAUGGGGGGAUUCUGGGAAAGUCUUCUGCCCGUAAAAAGAAACAAGCCAGGAAAAACGUCCCCUUCCUCCCUGUAGACAUGGCUAUGAACGGCAGGAUGCCUGAAACUGUCCAGGCUUGUUAUGAUGGAGAGACACACUGCACAGGGUGGGGGAAAGGGGAAAUAUACCCUAAGAAUGGUAGACCAGAAAGAUGUAAAGCAUCUGUAUCCUUGUUGAAAUUAUAGUGCCUCCCAAUUAACAUACCUAGAACUGUUUACCUCUGGACAUUUCAUUAUGUGAGAUAUUAAAGACCUGUGUAUUUGAA
This 1909-nucleotide long non-coding RNA is filed under the name Homo sapiens (human). RNAcentral's name for it is "long independently transcribed non-coding RNA 2152, transcript variant 1 (LINC02152)". Lineage: Eukaryota; Metazoa; Chordata; Mammalia; Primates; Hominidae. The record is from RNAcentral.